RNAcentral lists this transfer RNA (87 nucleotides) under Paenibacillus odorifer. RNAcentral describes it as "tRNA-Leu". It matches the Rfam family "tRNA". From Rfam's summary of the family: Transfer RNA (tRNA) molecules are approximately 80 nucleotides in length. Their secondary structure includes four short double-helical elements and three loops (D, anti-codon, and T loops). Lineage: Bacteria; Bacillati; Bacillota; Bacilli; Caryophanales; Paenibacillaceae. The record is from RNAcentral.
CCCGGGGUGGCGGAACAGGCAGACGCACAGGAUUUAAAAUCCUGCGGUACGUGAGUACCAUACGGGUUCGCCCCCCCGUCCUCGGCA